Molecule: ribosomal RNA, 347 nt
Filed under: uncultured soil bacterium
Lineage: Bacteria
Description: bacterial SSU rRNA
Rfam family: Bacterial small subunit ribosomal RNA
Source: RNAcentral
GAACGAACGCUGGCAGGCGUGCUUAACACAUGCAAGUCGAGUGCGCGCUUGUAGCAAUACAAGUGGCAGCACGGCGCACGGGUGCGUAACACGUGGGUAACCUGCCCUUUGGUGGGGAAUAACUCCGCGAAAGCGGAGCUAAUUCCGCAUAAGAUCCGCAAGGAUGAAAGCCGCAAGGCGCCGAUGGAGGGGCCCGCGCCCGAUUAGCUUGUUGGUAGGGUAAUGGCCUACCAAGGCUUUGAUCGGUAGCUGGUCUGAAAGGAUGGCCAGCCACACUGGAACUGAGACACGGUCCAGACUCUACGGGAGGCACAGUGGGGAAUCUUGCCAAUGGGCCAAAACCUGAU